Molecule: ribosomal RNA, 465 nt
Filed under: uncultured bacterium
Lineage: Bacteria
Description: partial 16S ribosomal RNA
Rfam family: Bacterial small subunit ribosomal RNA
Source: RNAcentral
AAUGAACGUUGGCGGCGUGGAUUAGGCAUGCAAGUCGAGCGAGAACCCCGCAAGGGGGGACAGCGGCGAAAGGGACAGUAAUGUGUAGAUUAUCUGCCCUCAGGUCCGGGAUAGCUGCGGGAAACUGCAGGUAAUACCGGAUAACAUCUCCGGAUCAAAGGUGUGAUUCCGCCUGAGGAUGAGUCUGCAUCCUAUUAGCUAGUUGGUGGGGUAAUGGCCUACCAAGGCAUUGAUGGGUAGCAGGUGUGAGAGCACGACCUGCGUCAUUGGGACUGAGACACUGCCCAGACACCGACGGGUGGCUGCAGUCGAGAAUCUUCGGCAAUGGGCGCAAGCCUGACCGAGCGACGCCGCGUGUGGGAUGAAGGCCUUCGGGUUGUAAACCACUGUCAGAGGGGAUGAAAUGCAGGUGGGUUCUCCCAUCUGUUUGACAUAGCCUCAGAGGAAGGACGGGCUAAGUUCGUG